Molecule: long non-coding RNA, 3246 nt
Organism: Pan troglodytes (chimpanzee)
Lineage: Eukaryota; Metazoa; Chordata; Mammalia; Primates; Hominidae
Exons: 2
Source: RefSeq, a predicted model, not a curated record
ACCACUGUGCUUGGCUGACUGAGUUCACAAAUCUCUUGUAACCUGUAGCUUCCCUAUCGCUUCUCUGGCUCUCCUUUCUUGCUAAACUUUGUUUCCUGGCAGUGAUUAAAAUCUUCUGCCAGUGCCAUGGCUACUGCUGCUACUGGAACCACCAUAGCCACCUUGGUUUUGUGAACCCAUUUAUGCCUGGUGUUCCAUUAUUGGAACGCUAAGCAUGUGGGAGUUAUUUAUGUUCUCCUGUUCAAGGUCAUCGCCAAGGUCUGAUUUUUCAAAUUCAAAAAGUGCAACCUCAGGCAUAAAUUGGUUAAAAUCUUCUGCCAGUGCCAUGGCUACUGUUGCUACUGGAACCACCGUAGCCACCUUGGUUUUGUAAAGUAAAGUUUGGCAAAGUAUUGUUCUCCACCACCAUAAGGGCCAGAGCUUCUGCCUCCAAAGUUUCCUCCCUUUAUGGGUCCAAAAUUUGAAGGCUGAUUGUUGUAAUUGCCAAAAUCAUUGGAGCUUCUGCCACCUCCAGAAUUGAUUCCAUCAUUACCAAAUCCAUUACAGCCAUCCCUGCUGCCACUGUAUCCACCGCCACCGCUGUGGACAGCUGCCACCAAAGCCAUCAUGACCACUGAAAUUUCCUCCAUGACUGAAGUUGUCAUUCCCACCAAAACCACCUCCACAACCACCACCAAAGUUUCCAGAAGCACUUCGACCUCUUUGGCUGGAUAAAGCACUAGCCAUCUCUUGCUUUCACAGGACUUCCCUAACUUCACAGUUGUGGCCAUUCACAGUAUGGUAUUUCUGAGUGACAGUCUUGUCCACAGGGUCAUGGUUGUCAAAGGCUACGAAGGCAUAGCCCCUUUUCUUGGCACUACCUCUGUCAGUCAUGAUUUCAGUCACUUCAGUUUUUCCAUACUGUUCAAGAUCUCUUAGGCGAUGUUCUUCAAUGUCUUCUUUAAUGCCGCCAACAAAUAUCUUUUUCACAGUUGGGCACCUCGUCUUUGAGAAUCUUCUCGAGACAGCUCUUUGGUUCCACAACUCUUCAUCCACCUUGUGUGGCUUUGCGUUCAUGGCGCAUCCACCUCCUUCACAGCAGCAUACAGGACAAACCCAAAGCCCCAGAGUGCUUGGUGCUUGGAUCUCAUGACUACACAGUCCACGAGCGUUCCCCAUCGCUCAGAUUGGCUUCUCAGGUUCUCAUCAGUUGUUUCAAAGCUCAGCCCUCCAGUGCCGAGAUUCCACAGUCGGCCCUCCGGUGAGGAGCUUCCACAGCUGUUUAGGCUCUUUGGGAGAUUCUGACUUAGGCUGGCGUGCAGUAGUGUGAUCUCGGCUCACUGCAACCUCUGACUCCUGGGCUCAGGUGAUCCUCCCACCUCGACCUCCCAAGUAGCUGGCACUACAUGUGUGUGCCCCCAUACCUGGCUAAUUUUUGUAUUUUUUGUAGAGAUGGGGGACUCGCCAUGUUGCCCAGGCUGGUCUUGAACUGGGUUCAAGCAAUCCACCUGCCUCAGCUUCCCAAAGUGCUAGGAUUACAGGCGUGAGCCACAGUGCCUGGCCUAUGGUAUUUUUGGUGUAGCAGCCAGCACAUAGAUUUUUAACCAGGAGCUGGAUCCCUUACCCAGCACUUAGGACAGGCACAUAGCAGCGCUCAGUAUUUAUUGAACCAGUUAGUGGAUGGAUGGAUGGAUGGAUGAAUGAAUGGAUGAGUGUACAGAGGCUGGAAGGUGAAGUGAAGUAAGCUUUCUGUUUAAGAUGGAAGGGACUUCAUGUUUAAAAGUUGAUGGAUGCAGUUUCAGAGAGUGAGAACAUGUUCACUAGAGGAAAAAGCCCAAUAGCAUAAAUUCCCUGAGCAGGUAAGGGGUUGGCUGUAAAGCAGGGUGGACAGGUGGAUCUCAGCUCUGUGGGAACCAGGAAAGGACGAGAGCAUGGGUGUUCUUAGUUGGUGUGUUUGGUGGUUUGGUAGCAGCAGGAAGGUAAGGGAGUUCACACUGAUGGCUUUGGGUUUCUGUGUGUGAAGUAGGGGAAGUUGUCUGCUAAGAAUGGAAGUGUGGGGCAGGAAGUGGAGGUUUGAAGUGGUUUAGAGUAAAAUGGACGUUGAGAUAAAGCAAGAAGCCUUAGAUUGCCAGGCAGCAAUGUGCAGGCCAUGGGGGGCUGAUGAGGACUGGCUCAGGACCCCCCUGCCCUGUGCCUGACUCCACCCAGCAGUGCUCAGCUCAGCACCUCCUGGAGCAGGAGGAGGGAAAGCUGCGCUCUGGUGGGAUUUUACCAGGUGGAGGCAGCGGAAAGGGAAUUUGAAUGUCCUGUUGAAGCCGCUGAAAAAACAGAGAAAGGCCGGAUGAGGAGUUCAGGAGGCCAAGGAGUCAGCACGGUGGGGCCGAGGAAUCAGCCUGCUGCCAGAAGAAACGGGUCGGAGAGCGGCAGCCGGAAUUUUGGCGAUGGUGUAAUUUCGAGCAGGAAGACUGCCCUGGGCUGGGUCACUGAGUGGAGUGGAGGGGAAAGGCCAGUGGAGAUUAGGGGAUGCUGCACAGAAAGGCCAGGCUGCCCACGCGGACGUGGAAACCGUGCCGCAUGCUGCACAGAAAGGCCAGGCUGCCCACGCAGACGUGGAAACCGUGCCGCCUGCUGCAAGGAUCUGGGUAGGCCCCGCGAUCAAGAGUCCUGAAUGAGGAGGAGAAAGAGGGUGGCUCUCGGAAGUGUGGACCCCAGCAGCGGGUGUGGGGAGCGGGCAGUUCUGCCUGGAAUGGGCCUGAGGGUCUGCGGAUGUCUGUUUCUUUUUCUCACUUGUCUGCACAACUUUGACUUUUUAUACCCACUGCUAUUUUGAAAAAGGAGUGGGAGGAAUACUGGAUUCAGUGUCAUCAUUCGUGGAAAGCCACAAGUGUUUCCUAUGUUUAGAUGGCAGAAGCCCAGGGGCAAGGCUCAGGUCCUUCCAGCUGUGCUGUCUCCUGGCGAUCCGUGGAUUAGAGCUGUUCCUCAGCUUCUCCGUCCUUAAAGGGAUCAAUACACGGAAGAUGGCAAUAGGAGGAAAAAAUACCUACUAUUAUACAAAUAGCCGUGCUGUUUCCUUGCUGAGAGAAAAACUGGCUAUUGAAAAGCAGCGAUUGAACUUGUGAACAAUGGGGUGAUUUGAACUUGCAAAAGAAGGAAAAAUGGAUGCUUUUUCCUCUCACUAAAUCCUCACAGCAUUGUGGACUCACACGAACCUUUAGAAAUCAUUAUUCUUUCCAUUUUUAAUUGACAAAUAAAAGUUAUAUACAUUUA